This 275-nucleotide ribosomal RNA is filed under the name uncultured archaeon. RNAcentral's name for it is "partial 16S ribosomal RNA". It matches the Rfam family "Archaeal small subunit ribosomal RNA", at positions 725 to 999 of the family's 1478-position model. The record is from RNAcentral. RNAcentral also lists the same sequence under 1 other name.
UCGAUUAGAUACCCCUGUAGUCCUAGCCGUAAACGAUACUCGCUAGGUGUCGGCCACGGUGCGACCGUUGUCGGUGCCGUAGGGAAGCCGUGAAGCGAGCCACCUGGGAAGUACGGCCGCAAGGCUGAAACUUAAAGGAAUUGGCGGGGGAGCACCACAACGGGUGGAGCUUGCGGUUUAAUUGGAUUCAACGCCGGAAAUCUUACCGGGACCGACAGCAAUAUGAAGGCCAGGCUGAAGACUUUGCCGGAUUAGCUGAGAGGUGGUGCAUGGCA